This 4861-nucleotide long non-coding RNA is filed under the name Bemisia tabaci. RNAcentral's name for it is "lncRNA ENSSSA1NGG005285". The record is from RNAcentral. Lineage: Eukaryota; Metazoa; Arthropoda; Insecta; Hemiptera; Aleyrodidae.
AUGCUCGCAUCGUUGAAUGAGGAAAUCAAGCGCGCAGCUAUUCGAACUCCGAACUAGGUACGUGGGUGGUUUCACGAUAACUGGAAUAGUUUUGUCGCCGUAACAGACAACACAUUUUUUAUUUAUUUUUGUGAAAAUGUAAAUUUAAUAAAAUAAAUGAUUAAAAUCAUUUCAUCUCAUUUUUAUUUUUUUAUCAAAGAUUUUUUAUUUACGAUUUCAGUAUCAGCAGGUGCUGACGGGUUCCACGACAAAGCCUCAAAAAUUCAGGCUGAUAUUAAGCGGAACCACCGCCCUAGCACACAUAGUCCAUCUUCAUCAAAGAGCAACUCGAGGAGUUCGUAUGGAAAAGAUCCAAUAAAAUGGAACCAAAAAAUAGAUUUUGCAACAAUUUACUGAUCUAUGAGAUGCUGUACUUGUGGAACACCCUGGCACCAUGCUCUACUAUAGGCAAAAUUAUUGAAGAUUGCUCGGAACCAAGAGAUCAGGAGCCUAUGAUAGGGCUUCGACUUUUAGUUCUUGGAGCAGCACUAAACAGCCGUGGCAAAAGUUCCGAUGCAGUGAAAAGCUUUAAAGAAGUCUUAUCUCUUCGUCAGAGUCUUCCAAAAACUGCCGACGAUGCACAUGUCUCUGCUUUUGCCUUGUAUGAACUCAGCAUGAUACUUUUAAGGGAGGAAUCGGUAAUGAAAAUGAAUAUUACUUUGAAGAAUUUUUACUAUUAUUUUGAUACGAUUUUUAUUAUUUUUUCCUUCAAUUUCAUUAUUUAAAGCGAUACACUGACGCAUAAUUUGCAACAAAGUGCACAGCAUUUUCUUACAUUUUUUGGAAAAUCUUGGAGAAAAAUUAUUUACAGGGUACAUUAGCUUUGAGCACACUUUGAAGAACAUUUUUUAGAUUUGAAACACCUCUUGACACCUGAUAACUUUGUCGAGUCUCUUAUAUCAAUGCUAUCAUUUAUCUUCCAAAACAAAAAAUCAGUUAGCUCAUUUUGGUUGAGAAGAAAUGCUGCAAACCUGUAUUUCUCUUUCAAAGUUACUACCAGUAACCAUACUUUCUAUCCCUGGUGCUAUUUCUCAAAAAAUUUUAACAGUUACAUAUAAAUUGACAAAUGUUGCAUCUCUGUCUAAACUUGCAUUUCUAGGGUUUCAACAUUCUUGUUGAAUUCUAGCGUCGUUGAAUUUUGCAUUAGAUGGGCUUAAAACUUAUGAACCUUGUUCUACUAUCAACAUGGGAAACAAAACUUUCUUCCUAAAAAUGUCGCCUUUGAUCCUGAUUUUUUAAUACUUAUAAUUUUCAGACAAGAGCCGAGGGAAAAUUUCAACUUCAGGAGCUACAAUCCAGUUACAAAACUACGAUUUUGAAAGUCGGCUCAGCAUGAAGAUUCAAGCUGCUUUGAAUUCUUUGAAAAGAUCCUAAGACUUAUGAGAAGUCAAAACAUUCUCUCUUAAAGAAAAUCACAGUUCCAGAGAGUUUAUGAAUCAAAACAAAGAUGCCUUCAGUCAUUAUUUUGUUAUCUAAUUGUUCUUGACUCUAGAUAUUUCAGAACAAUUGAGCCGCUCGGCAUGAAAAAAGUUGUGAUGCACUCAUAUUACUUCUUCUCAAGCCAUCUUUAUGUUUAGCCCAACGAUUAGGAAAACUGAUAAGAGUUUUUACCUCUUGGUUAAUGACUAUGUAAAAUGGGAUAUAGAAAAAACACUUGAAAAAUUAGAAGGCAUGAUGCUUGUAUUUGAGUUAAUGUCAAUUGAAAAUGAGAAAAUUCCAAACAAUUGACAAGGUACCCGUUGGUUUGAUUUCCAGUGGGUUACCAUGAAAUACAUUUUUAGGCCCUUUCCACAAAGAGACGCUUCGACAACUUAAGGGAGCCCCACAAUUUCAAAUAUAAAAGUAUCCCAUGUUUUAUGAAGGAACGGACGCACAAGCAUGGGUCAAAAUAUACAUUGCAUGAGCGAGUGAACUUAGUGCAUGAAAAAAGGUACACCCAAAGUAAGGUACACACUGUGAUGAAUUUAGACAUGAUAACUAAAAUCUCAAAUUUUUUACGAUGUGUCACUUAACUCUUAUUUACAUACAUGGGAAGCUAAUGUCUCUAGUCUUUUCCUCUCUUAUACAUUUCAUAUUCGUUUAUCAUACUGAGAUUAAAAUAUACAAUGCAGAAAAUAUAGGAUACCAACAAUAGUCAACAGCUAAACAAUUCAAGAAUUUGGUUAAAAUUUAAGUUUCCAGAGGGGAGGCAAAUAAUAACCCCCAUUCAUAGAGUUGCCUGGUUACUUAUCGACUAUCUUGAAAUGUCCAUUUUUAGAUAUCAAUGUUCCUUUCAGUUUUUCACUUGUCAGAUUGGUUUGAGCAAGAAAAGCUCCACACUCAGUCCACUAUUUCCAUCCAAUUUCUUUUUAUUUUUGAGAAGCACUGAUUGCCUAAUCGUUGUUCAGAUAAAUUCUUUAUUUUGUUAUCUAAUGUUAAAACUGAAGUUAGACUGAUUUUCUGAAUUGUUUUAUAGAGCACUUUGUAGUUCAAAUUUUAUAGUGUAUUUUAUUAUUGAAUAAAGCAGUAUUUCUAAAUUACUAAUCCAUUCUGAUUUUAACGAUGACCUUACCUGCAGGAACAAACCAAGAACUCAACAGGGACAGGUCAUUUUUUUAAUAAAAAAAUAUGGUUUCUUGCUUUGCAAAAAAAAAUCUAGCAGAAAGCCUUGCAUUGAAUGUAUAUUGCAUGCAAUAAAUGCAGCUUCUAUGACACUGGGAGGGAGCAAAGGUGAUUUUUCGGUUUCCAAACUCCUAAUUCAUUGAAAUAUAAAGUUUUUAGGUGGAGCAAAGAGCACUUUUCUCAGCCGAGUAAUAAGAUCAAUAUAACAGUGCAAAGUGCAAAGGUUCAAUUUUUCCCUGACAACCCAUUGAUGUAAUUUCCUAGCCUAGGGACUGAGUGAUUUUGUAACAGGUUGGCACAUAUCAACAGUAAGACUCCUGUCGCAGAACAUGAUACAAUGUUUGGGAGUUCACCGACAAUAUCCAAAAGUGAUACAAAUACUUGGUUAAAACUUAAUCAAAUAUUAUCACCGAUAAAGGAGUUUUGGGUGAAAUUUUUGUGAUCCUUAAAAGAACUUAAACAAUCACAUAAGGCAUUUUGACAGACUUUUCACCCUCCUCCCCAUCUUGUAACGGGCUCGCAAGACAACCUCUCGCCCUACCUCCCCCUUUGAAUUACCUAGGACUAGUCUGUUCCUUCCCUUGAUUUUUCAGAAAAUAACAGAUUAAGUCUGAUAAUGGCUGAAAAAAUAAUUUUUUUCAGAAGAUAUUUUUUUUUUUUUUCAAGUUCAGGGUUUAUGUAAGACUGGGCUUGACUUCCCCUUUCCUCCUUGUAGCCCAUGCAAGGCAAGCUCAGACCCCCUCUCCCUCCUAGGUAGCUUGUGUAUUACUUGGAUAGCCCCUCAGAUACUUAUGACCCGAUUGUACUGAUGACUUCAGUAAGAAGGUAAAUAUAAGCACUGGUGUUGAAUACCUAUUUUUACAAAGUUUCACCUUCGACAAAUUAUACUCAAAAUGAAGACAAAUUUAACCACUUUUUUAAAAAAAAGCCACUCAUGUCCAUGGCACUCUUCAAAUAGGUUCAUUCAAUGGUGAAUCAUUAAGAUGUCUCCAUUCUACCUGCUUAAUGCCUUACUUAGUGCUAUGACUAUUUGAAAAUGCUGCUACCUGAUAAAUACUUGAUGGCUUCAUCAAUUUUCUUCAGCCUGUCAGCUCCAACCAGAAAUGCGCUUGAGACACAUGCACAGAUUUGAAAACCUGAAAGAAAAGGAAAAAUAUUCCAUUUAAAAUUCAUAAAGGCUGAGGCUAAAAUUUUCAAAUUUGAGAUAUUUGUGGUUGCAUACUUUUGGUAUGAUGAACCCAAUCCAACAAAAUUACAGUUCAAGUAAAAAUGCAACAUUAAAAUAACUAAAAUUGAAGUUAUCAAACACAACCAAGUAAUGAACAAAAAAUUAGACUUAAAUCAUCAAAAUGAUGGUUUGUUGCACCAAUAUUUACAGCAGAAUAUCCGGCCAUUCCCAAUAUUUAUCUGGGAUAAAUGCUCCUUAUGCUUUUUUUAUUUGAUAAAAUUACCACCUAGGGUGGCCCUGAAGCGCGAUUUCCACUUUCCUUUGCUUUGAACCCUAAAACUGAUAUUUUUCGUGCUGCAGAGUUUGAUGUUCCAGUGAUGACUGGUUCACAAAAAGACACUGAUUUUUAUAGACACUUUAAAAUCUUUUUUUGUGGUCAUGGAAGACCGUGCUAUUCCAACACCCUGUCUACCCCUUUAGGACGACAGGGUAGGAGAGGAACAUGGCCACCUGGUGGCGGGCGGUCCGUACUGUUUGACUGUAUUGUGAUUAAAUUAAGACAUUUCUAGUUUCCAUUACCUACUGCCACUUUCAUAGUGAUGAUUGCUGAUUCUUGUUUCUUGCAUUUUUAAGCUGAAUAAGAGGCCAUUUUGCAAGAAUAACCUAGACUCCUUACCCUAGCUUCAAUGCAAUUUUAAGAUUAAGUGUGAAGCAGGGUACCAAGAGGGUAGAAUCUUGAGAAUGGAUUCAAAUACCUACAAGAUUACGUUAAUGGUUAACUCAACUACUCGUUUCCAAGUAUUUGAAUCUCUUCUUGCCAGGUAAUAUGCUUGAAGACAAUCUGACAUCAAAUAAUUGACCAGACAUUUUUAGUUUUUUUUUUUUUUUUGAAGAAAAAGCACCUCAAAAGAGUUAGUCUUCAAUUUUGGCAUUUAAUGAUGGAGACCAUUGGGUUUAGAGGAUGAUGCAAUCAGGUAAGUACAUUUAAAACCCACUGGAACUUGCCCUUCAAUUAUAAACUCAGUACCUAACACUGCAGAAUUUAACAAAGAU